Molecule: ribosomal RNA, 429 nt
Filed under: Triticum aestivum (bread wheat)
Lineage: Eukaryota; Viridiplantae; Streptophyta; Magnoliopsida; Poales; Poaceae
Description: partial small subunit ribosomal RNA
Source: RNAcentral
AUGGUUUGUGCAUAUUGUCUUGUUUCUUUUGGUUGCGUUCUUGGAGAUUACUUCAGUUGCUUCUGGCCAUUAUGCAUUGUAUCUAAGACGAGACUGUAUGACGAGUCAUUUUCUGUUUGGCGUCUAUCUACCGCCUCCGACAUAACCUCUUCUCAUUCUUCCUCUCUGUCGUAUUAUCCCUCGCAUCAGCGAAUCGACUCUGAUGGCGAGCCAGGGACCAUGCACCUCUCUACCAGACACCCUCCCACCUACUUCAGCUCAGGCGGAUCGCCACAUCUCUUCAGCCUGUCUGUGCACAAGGUGGUUACGAUGAACAAUGUUGCACACAACUGUAGCUGCUCGGCAGCGACAGUGACUUCGCGUUAUUGUUUGCUACCGAUCAGCCGCCUUGGUCGCCGUUUGUCACUAAUCCUGAUAGCUUCAAAGUAA